Molecule: long non-coding RNA, 364 nt
Organism: Parasteatoda tepidariorum (common house spider)
Lineage: Eukaryota; Metazoa; Arthropoda; Arachnida; Araneae; Theridiidae
Source: RefSeq, a predicted model, not a curated record
UCUUUCACAUCUCUUCAAAAGUGUUGAAGCAACUUCACAAUUCAACCAAUCAGGUGGCAGCAACCACAUGGGGCUAUGGGAUAGCACAAGUCAAAACAAUAUGGCGGCAAAGUUUAUGUAACGAAGCAGCGUAUCUAAUUUGUUAUAUACUAAUUCAGCAAAGAUGAGUCAAAAUUUUGAACAAGCUCCCGUUGGAGAAACUUUUAAAUGGAGCAUCGAAAUGGAGAGCACAUUUAUUGAACUCUUGAAGAAAAAAGAGAACAUUUGGAAUGUAACAUCCCGCCACCACAGGAAAUAUCAUUUAAGAGCUCAUAAAAAAUUAAUCGAAACUGCUUUUGGAAUAAAUUGUUCACUUUUAUCAGUU